This 279-nucleotide ribosomal RNA is filed under the name uncultured bacterium. RNAcentral describes it as "partial 16S ribosomal RNA". It matches the Rfam family "Bacterial small subunit ribosomal RNA", at positions 506 to 784 of the family's 1533-position model. The record is from RNAcentral.
UGCCAGCCGCCGCGGUAAUACGGAGGGUGCAAGCGUUGUUCGGAAUUAUUGGGCGUAAAGCGCGUGUAGGCGGUUGUUUAAGUCUGAUGUGAAAGCCCGGGGCUCAACCCCGGAAGUGCAUUGGAAACUGGGCAACUUGAGUACGGGAGAGGAAAGUGGAAUUCCGAGUGUAGGGGUGAAAUCCGUAGAUAUUCGGAGGAACACCAGUGGCGAAGGCGGCUCACUGGCUCGAUACUGACGCUGAGGUGCGAAAGCGUGGGGAGCGAACGGGAUUAGAUA